CCUAUAAUAAGCGGCCGUGUACUUCCUUAAACACUUUGCACGGGAGUUCCAUUAACGACCUAGCUUUCCUUCUCUGAGAGGGUUGAUUUUAUCAAGGAUUUCAAGGAAAUAAUCUGUGAAAAUGUCAGCUGGGGAGCCCUUGUGUUGGCCCAUCCAAUAAUAUUGAGAGUCUCCUUCAGUGAGCAAGUGCCGGCCCAACUGUGAUCGAAUAGCUUGAGACUCCUGAGGAGAGCUUGGGUCUUGGACAAUGUUGUGUCCCCAACACCAGUGGAUCGGAGUAACUGGGACUGAAGUUGCCGAGUCGAUCUCUUAAAACCCUGCUGACUCUAGAUGGUUCCGAGUCAUCCAGAGAGCACCUGUCGAAGUUUAUUUGAUAUGGUACUGCUCAGGGAUGUAUCCAAACCGAAGGAUUUGUACAAGGACCCUGACGAUGGGCGCCAACGCUUUUUGCUUGAGUUGGAGUUUGUUCAAUGUCUAGCCAAUCCUACCUAUAUCCACUAUUUGGCUCAGAACCGGUAUUUUGAAGAUGAAGCCUUUGUCGGUUACUUGAAGUACCUUCAGUAUUGGCAACAACCAGAGUAUAUAAAGUUUAUUAUGUACCCACACAGCUUGUUCUUUCUUGAACUUCUUCAAAAUGCCAACUUCCGCAAUGCAAUGGCCCAUCCAGGCAACAAGGAAAUAGCUCAUAGGCAGCAGUUCUUUUUCUGGAAGAAUUACAGAAACAAUCGGUUAAAGCACAUCUUGCCACGCCCUCUUCCUGAACCUCCCGCUCAACCAGUUCCACCCCCACCUCCUGCCCCCGCCCCAUCUACAGCUGCUAAUGCCCCAAUACCUUCCCCCAUGCAGAUGACUUCAUCAAUAGGAUCCACUCUCCCAAAACCAGAUAUGAGAAAUAGCAGUGGGGAUCGGAGAAAGAGGAAGAAAGAUGCUUAGCUCCUUCUGCAGAUGUGAACUGGGAGAGUAGACUAUGGAGGAUUGUCAUUUUUCUGUGCUCUUAGCGCUCUCUCUUUCUUUCUCUUUCUCUCUCCCCCCCUCCCUGCCCCCCACAUGGUUUUUUUUUAAUGUUACAUUAAAUAAUUAUUUCAUCCACCUAAAAUAUAGGACGUUAUAAAUUUCCUUACCUCCCUCUCUUCCCCCCACCCCCCAAACCAAAAAAACAUCAACCCCCAAAAUCACUGAAGCUUGGCUCUCCCAUUCUCUCACUGACUUUCUCUUACUCAACCAGCGCUUCUCAUGCCAUCUCCACCUGCAACCUCACUGAUAUGUUCGUUGGUGCUGCCAACAAACAAGGGUUAAUCUCUCUCUCUCUCUCUCUCUCUUUUCUGUGAACACAGCUAGAGCAAAUAUCUGAGGCCUGAGUUAUAGGGGACAAAGGCACGAAUCUACUUGCUGACAUGUAGGUGAACUGGCCUUGGAGCAGUUGUUGCUUUGUGGGCAUUAAUUUUGCCAUGGCAGUUGCUUUCAGAUGGAAACUAUCUCAUGAGAAAAUCUGAGGAACUGAUUAUUGCCAAGAAACCUUGGAGAAUCAAUUUUCUUGGAAGAUUAAUUAUUGUAACGUAGUGCAAAUUGUUACCAUUACUACCGAGGAUCACUUAUAUUAUACUAUGCUCCCGCAGGAGCAAUAAUGUAGAUCCACUCCCUCGGCUAUAAGACCUCUUUUGGAGGGUUUUUUCCAUGUGAAAAUUUGAAAACCACCAAAGAUCACUAGAUGAUCAUUUACGAAAGAAAAAUUUUGAGUUGACGUUUAAAUUUUA
RNA transcript from Amborella trichopoda, 1754 nucleotides. It is a transcript of the gene named SOH1 family protein, with no coding region annotated. The record is from RefSeq and is a predicted model, not a curated record. NCBI's taxonomy places the organism in Eukaryota, Viridiplantae, Streptophyta, Magnoliopsida, Amborellales, Amborellaceae.